CUUAAGGGGCGGAGGCCGGCUCAUAUUUGCCUAUUAGGGCCGUGGGACGCCGAGGUUCUGCUGGGUCCCUCCUGGAAAUAGAUCCUUCCCAGCCAGCACCCGAAGUCAGCAGCAGAGGGCAAAGCACCUGGGCUUUAUUUAGCUCCAAGCUCCACGAUCCUCCUGCAUAUUGUUCCUGGAAGAGGCAAAAGCCUAGGGCUUCAAGAUGCCGGGGCUUUAAGAAACCAAGGCAUGACCUCAAGUGAUUUGCCGGAGGUGGCCUCGGUGGCAGCAGUCAUUGAAGAAAGGAAGACAGCUGCCCAGCCAGUCUGACAGACCAUACACAGACAGCCCUGUUCACAGGGAGGCGUGGGCAAAGAUUUCAUGACGAAACAUCAAAAGCAAUUGCAACAAAAGCAAAAAUUGACAAAUAUGAUUUAAUUAAACAAAAGAGCUUCUGCACAGCAAAAGAAACCAUCAUCAGAGUGAACAGACACAACCUAUAGAACGGGAGAACACUUUUGCAAUCUAUCCAUCUGACAAAGGUCUAAUAUCCAGAGUCUACAAGGAACUUAAACAAAUUUACAAGAAAAAAACAAACUACCCCAUUAAACAGUGGGCAAAAAACAUGAACAGACACUUCUCAAAAGAAGACAUUUAUGCAUCCAAAAAA
Molecule: long non-coding RNA, 652 nt
Filed under: Homo sapiens (human)
Lineage: Eukaryota; Metazoa; Chordata; Mammalia; Primates; Hominidae
Description: PREDICTED lncRNA (TCONS_00217978)
Source: RNAcentral